AGCGGGUGGAGCCCGAAGCUCUUAGGG
Molecule: small RNA, 27 nt
Filed under: Bombyx mori (domestic silkworm)
Lineage: Eukaryota; Metazoa; Arthropoda; Insecta; Lepidoptera; Bombycidae
Description: ovarian small RNA-12124
Source: RNAcentral